This 38-nucleotide ribosomal RNA is filed under the name Ficus theophrastoides. RNAcentral describes it as "partial 26S ribosomal RNA". The record is from RNAcentral. Lineage: Eukaryota; Viridiplantae; Streptophyta; Magnoliopsida; Rosales; Moraceae.
ACGCGACCCCAGGUCAGGCGGUGCUACCCGCUGAGUUU